This 1299-nucleotide long non-coding RNA is filed under the name Phascolarctos cinereus (koala). RNAcentral's name for it is "lncRNA (ENSPCIG00000007937.2)". Lineage: Eukaryota; Metazoa; Chordata; Mammalia; Diprotodontia; Phascolarctidae. The record is from RNAcentral.
AGAAAGCAAAUAUAUUACAGGGCCUAGGCAAGAUCUUAUUUCUCCCUCUCCCUCCAUCCCCUUGUCCUACUCUCAAGUUUCCCAGGAAGGUAGGGAGAUUUUGGAUGUUUGCUGCAGAGGAGGUCCAGGACCUACCUGUGCCCACCCCAGCUCCAACUUCUGGCCUUGCUUUUCUUUUCACAGCACCAGAAAGCUGACAGUUCAUAGACAGCAUUAAAUUGAGAAUAAAUGAGGUAGGUUUCAAUCUCUAUCCCUGAGCCCCGAGCCCUGGGAACCAUGGUUAGAUAGCCAGAUUCCUUAGAUUUCCUUAGAAGUAUUGGGAUGGUUGGGAUUUGGGGUAAAGGUGCUACCUGGCAUACCAACAACAACAGUAACAACAAUAAUAAUACCUUCUUCUUACUCAUGGCUUGAGACUUUUCAGAACAUUUCCACAUUCAUGGUCUCAUCAGUGCCUCACAACAGUGAUGAUUGUUAUCUCCAUCUUUAUAGAUGGAAAAUUAAAACUCAGAAGGGAGGGGUUUUCCUUAAGCCAUUCCAUUGAAUUAGAGGUAGGAGGAGGAAUUCAGUCUCCAGGCUGGUACCUUAAUGUUAUUAGAUAGGGAUGGGCAAGGUACUUGUUAGAGCAAAGAUGUGAGGAAGCUGGAGAAGGUAAGGAUCAAAAAAAAAUUUUCUCCAACAGGAUGAUGAUUCAACAGACUUGGAAAAUAUUCAAAAUUUAACCUCUCAGUACGAGGAGGACAUCAAUAACUAUUUGAUGGAUACUGUCGAUGCUGAAUAUCAGAAACAAAAUCAGGACCACACUGGGGUCCGCAUCACUGAGCAGCUGAAGCUGAAGGAGAAAAUGAAGAAUGAUGAUGCCUCUUACAAUGAGCCAAUAACGGGAAAUACAACACUGGAAAAGGCCCUCAGUAUCUGGGAGUUGAUGCUGAAAAAGAUUAAGGAUGGGUGGAACAAAGUUCUUGAGUUUGUGAGGCAGAUAGUUGGUUUUGUGAAGAAGAUUAAAGAUGAUAUAGUAAAGGCAGUGAAAAGUAUAUGGGAGAUGUUGAAGAGCCUAUUUUAAUUCCCUCCAUGGUAGAAAGAACUGCACGUCAUGGGUACUUUGUAAGGCUUCCAGAUUUAGGGUAAUUUUAAUUUUUUUCAAAUUAUAAACUUCAUGAAAAAAGAAGGUGGGAGAGAAUUUCCAUGCACACAGCAGAAUAUCAAAAGAAGAUUCUAUAUGUAAACCUAAAUUUCUGUUUCAUAUCAUUUGCUUUAAGAUAAAAUAAUAAAGUCUCUAUAUUACAUAGAGAUCUCUCCUGA